RNAcentral lists this ribosomal RNA (460 nucleotides) under uncultured bacterium. RNAcentral describes it as "partial 16S ribosomal RNA". It matches the Rfam family "Bacterial small subunit ribosomal RNA", at positions 338 to 795 of the family's 1533-position model. The record is from RNAcentral.
CCUACGGGAGGCUGCAGUGAGGAAUAUUGGUCAAUGGACGAGAGUCUGAACCAGCCAAGUAGCGUGAAGGAUGACUGCCCUAUGGGUUGUAAACUUCUUUUAUAUGGGAAUAAAAUGUUCCACGUGUGGGAUUUUGUAUGUACCAUAUGAAUAAGGAUCGGCUAACUCUGUGCCAGCAGCCGCGGUAAUACGGAGGAUCCGAGCGUUAUCCGGAUUUAUUGGGUGUAAAGGGAGCGUAGGUGGAUUGUUAAGUCAGUUGUGAAAGUUUGCGGCUCAACCGUAAAAUUGCAGUUGAAACUGGCAGUCUUGAGUACAGUAGAGGUGGGCGGAAUUCGUGGUGUAGCGGUGAAAUGCUUAGAUAUCACGAAGAACUCCGAUUGCGAAGGCAGUUCACUGGACUGCAACUGACACUGAGGCUCGAAAGUGUGGGUAUCAAACAGGAUUAGAUACCCGGGUAGUC